RNAcentral lists this ribosomal RNA (1488 nucleotides) under metagenome. RNAcentral's name for it is "bacterial SSU rRNA". It matches the Rfam family "Bacterial small subunit ribosomal RNA". The record is from RNAcentral.
GGGACGAACGCUGGCGGCGUGCCUAAUACAUGCAAGUAGAACGCUGAAGAGAGGAGCUUGCUCUUCUUGGAUGAGUUGCGAACGGGUGAGUAACGCGUAGGUAACCUGCCUUGUAGCGGGGGAUAACUAUUGGAAACGAUAGCUAAUACCGCAUAACAAUGGAUGACACAUGUCAUUUAUUUGAAAGGGGCAAUUGCUCCACUACAAGAUGGACCUGCGUUGUAUUAGCUAGUAGGUGAGGUAACGGCUCACCUAGGCGACGAUACAUAGCCGACCUGAGAGGGUGAUCGGCCACACUGGGACUGAGACACGGCCCAGACUCCUACGGGAGGCAGCAGUAGGGAAUCUUCGGCAAUGGGGGCAACCCUGACCGAGCAACGCCGCGUGAGUGAAGAAGGUUUUCGGAUCGUAAAGCUCUGUUGUAAGUCAAGAACGAGUGUGAGAGUGGAAAGUUCACACUGUGACGGUAGCUUACCAGAAAGGGACGGCUAACAACGUGCCAGCAGCCGCGGUAAUACGUAGGUCCCGAGCGUUGUCCGGAUUUAUUGGGCGUAAAGCGAGCGCAGGCGGUUUGAUAAGUCUGAAGUUAAAGGCUGUGGCUCAACCAUAGUUCGCUUUGGAAACUGUCAAACUUGAGUGCAGAAGGGGAGAGUGGAAUUCCAUGUGUAGCGGUGAAAUGCGUAGAUAUAUGGAGGAACACCGGUGGCGAAAGCGGCUCUCUGGUCUGUAACUGACGCUGAGGCUCGAAAGCGUGGGGAGCGAACAGGAUUAGAUACCCUGGUAGUCCACGCCGUAAACGAUGAGUGCUAGGUGUUGGAUCCUUUCCGGGAUUCAGUGCCGCAGCUAACGCAUUAAGCACUCCGCCUGGGGAGUACGACCGCAAGGUUGAAACUCAAAGGAAUUGACGGGGGCCCGCACUAGCGGUGGAGCAUGUGGUUUAAUUCGAAGCAACGCGAAGAACCUUACCAGGUCUUGACAUCCCGAUGCUAUUUCUAGAGAUAGAAAGUUACUUCGGUACAUCGGUGACAGGUGGUGCAUGGUUGUCGUCAGCUCGUGUCGUGAGAUGUUGGGUUAAGUCCCGCAACGAGCGCAACCCCUAUUGUUAGUUGCCAUCAUUCAGUUGGGCACUCUAGCGAGACUGCCGGUAAUAAACCGGAGGAAGGUGGGGAUGACGUCAAAUCAUCAUGCCCCUUAUGACCUGGGCUACACACGUGCUACAAUGGUUGGUACAACGAGUUGCGAGUCGGUGACGGCAAGCUAAUCUCUUAAAGCCAAUCUCAGUUCGGAUUGUAGGCUGCAACUCGCCUACAUGAAGUCGGAAUCGCUAGUAAUCGCGGAUCAGCACGCCGCGGUGAAUACGUUCCCGGGCCUUGUACACACCGCCCGUCACACCACGAGAGUUUGUAACACCCGAAGUCGGUGAGGUAACCUUUUGGAGCCAGCCGCCUAAGGUGGGAUAGAUGAUUGGGGUGAAGUCGGAACAAGGUA